UACGUAGGGGGCAAGCGUUGUCCGGAUUUAUUGGGCGUAAAGAGCGUGUAGGCGGCUAGGUAGGUCCGUUGUGAAAACUCGAGCUCAACCUCGAGACGCCGGUGGAAACCAUCUAGCUAGAGUCCGGAAGAGGAGAGUGGAAUUCCUGGUGUAGCGGUGAAAUGCGCAGAUAUCAGGAGGAACACCGGUGGCGAAGGCGGUUCUCUGGGCAUUACCUGA
RNAcentral lists this ribosomal RNA (219 nucleotides) under uncultured bacterium. Its description in RNAcentral is "partial 16S ribosomal RNA". It matches the Rfam family "Bacterial small subunit ribosomal RNA", at positions 524 to 743 of the family's 1533-position model. The record is from RNAcentral.